RNAcentral lists this ribosomal RNA (386 nucleotides) under uncultured bacterium. Its description in RNAcentral is "bacterial SSU rRNA". It matches the Rfam family "Archaeal small subunit ribosomal RNA", at positions 340 to 726 of the family's 1478-position model. The record is from RNAcentral.
CGCGAAAACUUUACAAUGCGGGAAACCGUGAUAAGGGAAUCUCGAGUGCCAGCAUAUAAUGUUUGCUGUCCAGAUGCCUAAAAAGCAUCUGUUAGCAAGGGCCGGGCAAGACCGGUGCCAGCCGCCGCGGUAACACCGGCGGCCCGAGUGGUUACCGCUUUUAUUGGGUCUAAAGGGUCUGUAGCCGGCCAAGUAAGUCCCUUGGGAAAUCUGGCAGCUUAACUGUCAGGCUGCUAGGGGGUACUGCUAGGCUUGGGACCGGGAGAGGUGAGAGGUACCUUGGGGGUAGGGGUGAAAUCUUGUGAUCCUCGGGGGACCACCAGUGGCGAAGGCGUCUCACCAGAACGGGUCCGACGGUAAGGGACGAAAGCUAGGGGCACGAACCG